AUCUACAGCCAUACCACCCUGAAUGUGCCUGAUAUCAUCUGAUCUUGGAAGCCAAGCAGGGGUCAGGCCUGGUUAGUACUUGGAGACCACUUAGGAACACUGGGUGCUGUAAGGA
RNAcentral lists this ribosomal RNA (115 nucleotides) under Procavia capensis (Cape rock hyrax). The record is from RNAcentral. Lineage: Eukaryota; Metazoa; Chordata; Mammalia; Hyracoidea; Procaviidae.